Molecule: ribosomal RNA, 737 nt
Filed under: uncultured bacterium
Lineage: Bacteria
Description: partial 16S ribosomal RNA
Source: RNAcentral
CUCCCCUAGCUUUCGCAUCUUAGCGUCAGAACAUCGCCAGCAAAUCGCCUUCGCCUCUGGUGUUCUUCCGCAUCUCUACGCAUUUCACUGCUCCACACGGAAUUCCAUCUGCCUCUCGAUGUCUCAAGUUGGAGAGUUUUCCGACGCCUUCUUCGGUUAAGCCGAAGAUUGUCAGCCGGAACUUUUCCAACCGCCUGCAUGCGCUUUACGCCCAGUAAUUCCGGAUAACGCUCGCCCCCUACGUAUUACCGCGGCUGCUGGCACGUAGUUAGCCGGGGCUUAUUCAUCGGGUACCGUCCGUUCUCUUCCCCGAUAAAAGCAGUUUACGAUCCGAAGACCUUCAUCCUGCACGCGGCGUUGCUCCGUCAGGGUUGCCCCCAUUGCGGAAAAUUCCUCACUGCUGCCUCCCGUAGGAGUCUGGGCCGUUCUCAAUCCCAGUGUGGCUGAUCAUCCUCUCAGACCAGCUACCGAUCAUUGCCCUGGUAGGCCAUUACCCCACCAGCUAGCUAAUCGGACGCAGGCUCGUCCUGUAGCGCCUCUUGCGAAGCUUUGCUCUCUGCAAAGAGAGAGAUCAUGCGGUAUUGUCACCGAUUUCUCGGCGGUAUUCCUCACUUCAGGGUCGAUCACCCACGUGUUACUCACCCGUCCGCCACUCCCUCUCACCGAAGUGAGAAGGCGUUCGACUUGCAUGUGUUAGGCACGCCGCCAGCGUUUAUCCUGAGCCAGGAUCAAACUCU